AGAAUCAACGCUGGCGGCGUGCCUAACACAUGCAAGUCGAACGCGGUUACCCCGCAAGGGGUAACUGAGUGGCAAACGGGUGAGUAACGCGUGGGUGACCUACCUUCGAGUGGGGGAUAACGUUUCGAAAGGAACGCUAAUACCGCAUGACAUCCUGCCUUUGGACAGGCGGAGAUCAAAGCCGGGGAUCGCAAGACCUGGCGCUUGAAGAGGGGCCCGCGUCCGAUUAGCUAGUUGGUGGGGUAACGGCUCACCAAGGCGACGAUCGGUA
Molecule: ribosomal RNA, 271 nt
Filed under: uncultured soil bacterium
Lineage: Bacteria
Description: partial 16S ribosomal RNA
Rfam family: Bacterial small subunit ribosomal RNA
Source: RNAcentral